GACGAACGCUGGCGGCGUGCCUAACACAUGCAAGUCGAACGGAACUUAUCGAAUGAAGUUUUCGGAUGGAUUUUGGUAAGUUUAGUGGCGGACGGGUGAGUAACGCGUGAGUAACCUGCCUUCAAGAGGGGAAUAACGUUCUGAAAAGAACGCUAAUACCGCAUAACGUGCGGUCCUCGCAUGGGGACUGUACCAAAGAUUUUAUCGCUGGAAGAUGAGCUCGCGGCCGAUUAGGUAGUUGGUGAGAUAACAGCCCACCAAGCCGACGAUCGGUAGCCGGACUGAGAGGUUGAUCGGCCACAUUGGGACUGAGACACGGCCCAG
RNAcentral lists this ribosomal RNA (324 nucleotides) under uncultured bacterium. RNAcentral's name for it is "bacterial SSU rRNA". It matches the Rfam family "Bacterial small subunit ribosomal RNA", at positions 28 to 334 of the family's 1533-position model. The record is from RNAcentral.